AUUGAACGCUGGCGGCAGGCCUAACACAUGCAAGUCGAACGGUAGCAGGAAGAAGCUUGCUUCUUCGCUGACGAGUGGCGGACGGGUGAGUAAUGUCUGGGAAACUGCCUGAUGGAGGGGGAUAACUACUGGAAACGGUAGCUAAUACCGCAUAACGUCGCAAGCCCAAAGAGGGGGACCUUCGGGCCUCUUGCCAUCGGAUGUGCCCAGAUGGGAUUAGCUUGUUGGUGGGGUAACGGCUCACCAAGGCGACGAUCCCUAGCUGGUCUGAGAGGAUGACCAGCCACACUGGAACUGAGACACGGUCCAGACUCCUACGGGAGGCAGCAGUGGGGAAUAUUGCACAAUGGGCGCAAGCCUGAUGCAGCCAUGCCGCGUGUAUGAAGAAGGCCUUCGGGUUGUAAAGUACUUUCAGCGGGGAGGAAGGGAGUAAAGUUAAUACCUUUGCUCAUUGACGUUACCCGCAGAAGAAGCACCGGCUAACUCCGUG
Molecule: ribosomal RNA, 490 nt
Filed under: uncultured bacterium
Lineage: Bacteria
Description: partial 16S ribosomal RNA
Rfam family: Bacterial small subunit ribosomal RNA
Source: RNAcentral